RNAcentral lists this ribosomal RNA (460 nucleotides) under uncultured bacterium. RNAcentral describes it as "partial 16S ribosomal RNA". It matches the Rfam family "Bacterial small subunit ribosomal RNA", at positions 338 to 795 of the family's 1533-position model. The record is from RNAcentral.
CCUACGGGUGGCAGCAGUGAGGAAUAUUGGUCAAUGGACGCAAGUAUGAACCAGCCAUGCCGCGUGCAGGAUGACGGCUCUAUGAGUUGUAACCUGCUUUUGCACGAGGGUAAAUCCCGAGUGGUGUAUCGGGUUGAAAGUAUCGUACGAAUAAGGAUAGGCUAACUCCGUGCCAUCAGCCGCGGUAAGACGGAGGAUUGAAGCGUUAUCCGGAUUUAUUGGGUUUAAAGGGUGCGUAGGCGGUUCGAUAAGUUAGAGGUGAAAUCCCGGGGCUCAACUCCGGCACUGCCUCUGAUACUGUCGGGCUAGAGUUUAGUUGCGGUAGGCGGAAUGUAUGGUGUAGCGGUGAAAUGCAUAGAGAGCAGACAGAACACCGAUUGCGAAGGCAGCUUACCAAACUACGACUGACGUUGAGGCGCGAAAGCGUGGGGAGCAAACAGGAUUAGAUACCCCUGUAGUC